AACAGGCUUAUCUCCCCCAAGAGUCCACAUCGACGGGGAGGUUUGGCACCUCGAUGUCGGCUCAUCACAUCCUGGGGCUGUAGUAGGUCCCAAGGGUUGGGCUGUUCGCCCAUUAAAGUGGUACGCGAGCUGGGUUCAGAACGUCGGGAGACAGUUCGGUCCCUAUCCGUCGCAGGCGUAGGAAAUUUGAGAAGACCUGUCCUUAGUACGAGAGGACCGGGAUGGACGUACCUCUGGUGUACCAGUUGUUCUGCCAAGGGCAUGGCUGGGUAGCU
RNAcentral lists this ribosomal RNA (275 nucleotides) under Clostridioides difficile. Its description in RNAcentral is "partial 23S ribosomal RNA". It matches the Rfam family "Bacterial large subunit ribosomal RNA", at positions 2476 to 2750 of the family's 2925-position model. The record is from RNAcentral. Lineage: Bacteria; Bacillati; Bacillota; Clostridia; Peptostreptococcales; Peptostreptococcaceae.